UUGCCAUAGAUGAAAUCAGUUAAAGGCA
RNAcentral lists this non-coding RNA (28 nucleotides) under Rattus norvegicus (Norway rat). The record is from RNAcentral. Lineage: Eukaryota; Metazoa; Chordata; Mammalia; Rodentia; Muridae.